CCGCUAUCUCUGUCCCAAAAGAACAAUCUUGACAAGCGCUGGAGCUAGAAUAACGUCCCGUUCUUCUUUGUUAGAUGCUACUACUGGGGUCUUGUUGGGGCCGGCCGGCUGUCGGUCAGAAUCUGGGUUAGGUGUAGUAGGCGACCCGGCGUCCGGAUCAGGAGGAAGCAAUCCCGGGCUCCAGCUCGGGGGCGAAGCUGUGCGCCGCCGAUGGCAUCUGAUCCUCCCACACCAAACCAACCUCGUACUCGGGAACGUACUCCUGCGAAUCACACGUGCGUUAAGGUGCGAGGAAACUGUCCGUGGGUGCGGGAUGCGGGUCAGUCAAAAUGGGCAUCCCCUACUUUGAGAGCAAUGGAUCGGAAUCGGAAUCUGAGAGUUUUACCUCAAGCUUGAGAACGAGCUCCUUCGCUGUAGGUGCGGAGAUGAUGAUGCGCCGCGCGUCCUCCUUUAUGAACCCUUCGUUGACAGCCAUGUCGAUGAAGGAUAGCAGCGGAUCGUAGAACCCGUCCACGUUUAGAAGGCCAACCUGGUGAAUAUUUACAAGCAGUUAAAUACAUAAUUCCCUGAGGUAGAUGGUUAUGAGUUAUGGAUAUAGAAAAAAUUUAUAAGUUUAUCAAGCUCCAAACUAUUGGCUAUCGGUAGCCUAUUCCUUACAGAAAGAAUCCUUGUAGGGCCCAUAAUCUCAGUUGAUUUAACACUGAAGCGUUUAAUCAAUUUGGUGGGGGCCACCAGGCUCCAAUAAUAGUAACGGCUGGCUGACGAAUCAAAGUCGAUAACAAUUGGAUCGAUCGAUCAAAUCUUUUCAUCUAUCUAUCAUUUGUGGCUCACUAACGCUGAGCAAUUGUUUAGAGAAGUUGCCAACUACACAUUCCUUUCCAAACGCUAAGUUUGACCAGUACAAGAUAUGCCAGAAUCACCCUAUUAGCUGUGUCGAAAUAUUCAUAAGGAAUUCAGUGGACAAAGCGCAUAAACAACAGAGAGCGCAGAUCGCAUGCUCCCCCAACUAAGUUCUAAUUAACAUCUGUGGAUGUUAAGAGGCUAACUAAACUAAACUAAUAAUUCAACGGUUUGUCUCUGGACAUCCAAAACCCCAGCCAUUCACAUGGGUGCACCGUGCGCCAUGAAGGCAUGAUCAAGGCAAGAUGUUCACAGAAGAUCACAGUAUCUCUAAUCAAACGACUUUGUGAUAAACUAGUAGGAUACAGAAUUGCUAGGACAAAAAGAAUCCUGAAACUUGGAGACACUGCACAUGACUCUAAAUUAUUGCGUGCCAAUGAGUAAGUUCUGGUUUGGAUCCAACAAGGUAUCAGAAUCAGUUGUUACCGGCUUCUUAUGGAUUCCUAGUUGCGCCCAGGUGAUGACCUCAAGCAACUCCUCCAGAGUCCCGUAGCCGCCUGCAAUAUAGCGCGUGUCAAAUUUGGCGUCCCAGGACUAUCAGUUCACAAGUGUUGUAGUUCAACUAAAUAAUCAUACCAGGUAAUGCUAUGAAAGCAUCAGCAAACCGAGCCAUCUCAGCUUUCCUUUCAUGCAUUCCGGAGACUGCCCUUACUUCCCCAACAGGCUCACCAGUUACCUGCAGAAGCAGAAACUUGGAAUCUAAGCAUCUGACACUCUUUUAAAUACUCCUCCGAAAUUAGAAAUGUAGCGCUAAUCCCCCGACAGAUAUGAAUGUAUGUUUCAGGUAUGUCAAUGCAUGACCAUAAUGGUUAUACGUGAGCUCAUCCUUCUUAUUAGAAAACAAAAGACUAGUUCCACAUUAUGCGCUCGUCAAGGACACCGACCAAGAUGAUUCACAAGGACCAAAUCUACAUUGAACAUAAUAAAGUACAGGAGCAGUGCAAGAAGUAAAGAACAAGUCAGUUACUACACUCAAAUCCAGUAAAAACUUCAGAGCAAGCAAGUGCUAUAAUAGUACAGUAAAAUCUUAAAGCCUGAAUAGUGCAGCACGCAUCCAAUGUUCAGGUCAGGAGCAUUAGAUUCAUGUGAUGGAUAUAAAUGCAACAUGUCUCCCUACUCAAAAGGUCCCUUGUUAUUAUUGGUACUUGAUGUCUAUUGUUCACUCAGACGCAAGCCGUGUGACCACAGGUAUCACGAAAGGAGCCAGACAUGCAUUCCAGAGACAGAAGCAGUACACAGCAGCAAUCAAAUGCAAGUCUCCAGGGUGUGCAAGAAGAGGCUCACCUCUCUGGGCAUCAAGGAUCUUGGGAUGACCCUGCAGUCAAGAAAAGAGGGGAAACAGAAAGGCACAUCAGUUUCCAGCAUGAAGCAGUCAAGCAGGUAGAAGCACCAGGCCAUGGCAUUUCCCAUUGCAGGAAACUGGCAAGCCAGACAGGGCUAGCUCAGGCUAGGCACGGCACAGCUAGAGACAGUCUAGAGAGAGAAGCAGACUGUGGACUGGAGCAAAUAAACACUGCACAAUUAUUAAGGCGAAGAAGAGAGGAGAGAAGAGAGCACUGCCUGCCCCCCUUGCAAGUUGCAGCUCGAUGGACAUUUUUUUUUUUGAUAAAGGAGCUCGAUGGACAUUUGGAGCAUGCAACCGAGUAGCCUUUCGGAAACCAGGCCAAAAGGUGCUUCCGCUCCUGUGAGUGAUGAAGCCCAACCCAGUUGCAUUCAAAAUGGCUCCUGCUGAAAUGAUGCAGCAAGAGACUCAAACCAAACGUCUCAACGGCAUACCCAGGGGGCAAGGCCAUGGCUGUGGCGAUCAAAAGCUGCCAUUUUGAUGCAAGAAGGCGCAGGAAGCAUGCACCCACAGCAGGAGCACUCAUCAAGGAGGAGAGCGCCCUGGCAUACACACAGCACAACUUGUCUACUAGAGAGAGAGGGAGGUUAGGAUGCUCACCCAAUCACAUGGCGCCCUCCAUCAUGAACUGCAUGAGACACCAGCCCCAUGAGGCCGAUGGAUCCUCCCCCGUAGACCAGGUCUAUGCCCCUCUCCACCUGCGCAAGACGAAAUCCACUCCUCAUCAACAAUUACCUCAAGAAAUGCAGAGAAAGAAAAGGCGAUGUUUAUAUUGUUAUACAAUUGGGAUUUCGGUGCGCCAAGGAAAGAAGCAAAGAUUGUUCAUUUUGGGGAGGCAAGUGAGGUCACCGCGCGCGGCAGCCAUCCAUCAUGGUCUGCGCGGCGACCAUUCAACAGCGAGACCACACCGCUCAAAAACGGCGAAGGAUCGCGGCGCCUUUCGGCUCCCCGGAUGGCGAGCAGCCGAGAGCGACAAGGCUUGCCGCGUCCCAGCCGUGAGCCGCGCGCGCGCGGAUGCAUGAUCACGCUAUGACGCGGCGUGCGCCACGGCAGCCUCAGCGCUCGGCGCAGCGGCAGCGGGCGGCGGCACACGCCACGGCGAAGGCGCAAUCGAGUGGAGCGAGAGGAACAAGAGAGGCGCCAGAUUGAUCUGGGUCUGGGUCCGGGGGACCAGAGCGGGCGGCGAUUCCCCCCGAAAAGACUGGAUUUUUUACGGGGGUCUCCGGCCCGUAAAGGCGGGAUUUUUUGGGGGGUACCAGAGCUGAAGAGACACGGCCACGUACCAGCUCCUUGCCGAGCUCGACGGCGGCGUCCUGGUAGCUGGGCUUCCGGCCCUUGGCGCUGCCGCAGUACACGCAGAUUCGCUGGAACCGGGACCGCCUCUCGCCGCCACUCCCCGCCUGCGCGGCCACCCCGGCCGCUCCGGCGCCGCCGCCGCUCUUCACGACCAAAGCCGCCUCCAUUGCCAUCGCCGCCGCCGCCGUGCUGGGGGUGGGAGCUCGUAGCUGCCGGUCGAUGUCCGACGAGGUGGCACUGAGAGAGUCGAGAGCCCGCCGCGCGGUUCUUUUGGGUAGGUGUGCGCGGGGGCGUAGCGGGAGGGGAAGGAAGGUGGGCAAGCUGGGGAGGAGGUGCGCACGGGAAAUCGCGAGUGCUCCGACGACUGGGAUUGGG
This 3913-nucleotide long non-coding RNA is filed under the name Setaria viridis. Its description in RNAcentral is "long non-coding RNA (SVIR_LNC005843)". The record is from RNAcentral. Lineage: Eukaryota; Viridiplantae; Streptophyta; Magnoliopsida; Poales; Poaceae.